Molecule: ribosomal RNA, 373 nt
Filed under: uncultured organism
Description: partial 16S ribosomal RNA
Rfam family: Bacterial small subunit ribosomal RNA
Source: RNAcentral
GAACCGUACAAACGUUAUUCGGAAUCACUGGGCUUAAAGGGUGCGUAGGCGGCGGCGCAAGUUGGGUGUGAAAUCCCUCGGCUCAACCGAGGAAUGGCGCCCAAAACUGCGUGGCUCGAGGGAGACAGAGGUGAGCGGAACUUGCGGUGGAGCGGUGAAAUGCGUUGAUAUCGCAAGGAACACCAGUGGCGAAGGCGGCUCACUGGGUCUCUUCUGACGCUGAGGCACGAAAGCUAGGGGAGCGAACGGGGGAUUAGAUACCCCGGUAGUCCUAGCUGUAAACGAUGAGCACUGGGUCGGAGGAUCCUCCAUAGUUUUCCGGCCGCAGCGAAAGUGUUAAGUGCUCCGCCUGGGGAGUAUGGUCGCAAGGCUG